Molecule: ribosomal RNA, 1377 nt
Filed under: Klebsiella pneumoniae subsp. pneumoniae
Lineage: Bacteria; Pseudomonadati; Pseudomonadota; Gammaproteobacteria; Enterobacterales; Enterobacteriaceae
Description: bacterial SSU rRNA
Rfam family: Bacterial small subunit ribosomal RNA
Source: RNAcentral
GAGCGGUAGCCAGAGAGCUUGCUCUCGGGUGACGAGCGGCGGACGGGUGAGUAAUGUCUGGGAAACUGCCUGAUGGAGGGGGAUAACUACUGGAAACGGUAGCUAAUACCGCAUAACGUCGCAAGACCAAAGUGGGGGACCUUCGGGCCUCAUGCCAUCAGAUGUGCCCAGAUGGGAUUAGCUAGUAGGUGGGGUAACGGCUCACCUAGGCGACGAUCCCUAGCUGGUCUGAGAGGAUGACCAGCCACACUGGAACUGAGACACGGUCCAGACUCCUACGGGAGGCAGCAGUGGGGAAUAUUGCACAAUGGGCGCAAGCCUGAUGCAGCCAUGCCGCGUGUGUGAAGAAGGCCUUCGGGUUGUAAAGCACUUUCAGCGGGGAGGAAGGCGGUGAGGUUAAUAACCUUGUCGAUUGACGUUACCCGCAGAAGAAGCACCGGCUAACUCCGUGCCAGCAGCCGCGGUAAUACGGAGGGUGCAAGCGUUAAUCGGAAUUACUGGGCGUAAAGCGCACGCAGGCGGUCUGUCAAGUCGGAUGUGAAAUCCCCGGGCUCAACCUGGGAACUGCAUUCGAAACUGGCAGGCUAGAGUCUUGUAGAGGGGGGUAGAAUUCCAGGUGUAGCGGUGAAAUGCGUAGAGAUCUGGAGGAAUACCGGUGGCGAAGGCGGCCCCCUGGACAAAGACUGACGCUCAGGUGCGAAAGCGUGGGGAGCAAACAGGAUUAGAUACCCUGGUAGUCCACGCCGUAAACGAUGUCGAUUUGGAGGUUGUGCCCUUGAGGCGUGGCUUCCGGAGCUAACGCGUUAAAUCGACCGCCUGGGGAGUACGGCCGCAAGGUUAAAACUCAAAUGAAUUGACGGGGGCCCGCACAAGCGGUGGAGCAUGUGGUUUAAUUCGAUGCAACGCGAAGAACCUUACCUGGUCUUGACAUCCACAGAACUUUCCAGAGAUGGAUUGGUGCCUUCGGGAACUGUGAGACAGGUGCUGCAUGGCUGUCGUCAGCUCGUGUUGUGAAAUGUUGGGUUAAGUCCCGCAACGAGCGCAACCCUUAUCCUUUGUUGCCAGCGGUUAGGCCGGGAACUCAAAGGAGACUGCCAGUGAUAAACUGGAGGAAGGUGGGGAUGACGUCAAGUCAUCAUGGCCCUUACGACCAGGGCUACACACGUGCUACAAUGGCAUAUACAAAGAGAAGCGACCUCGCGAGAGCAAGCGGACCUCAUAAAGUAUGUCGUAGUCCGGAUUGGAGUCUGCAACUCGACUCCAUGAAGUCGGAAUCGCUAGUAAUCGUAGAUCAGAAUGCUACGGUGAAUACGUUCCCGGGCCUUGUACACACCGCCCGUCACACCAUGGGAGUGGGUUGCAAAAGAAGUAGGUAGC